RNAcentral lists this ribosomal RNA (775 nucleotides) under uncultured Neocallimastigales. Its description in RNAcentral is "partial large subunit ribosomal RNA". It matches the Rfam family "Eukaryotic large subunit ribosomal RNA", at positions 24 to 614 of the family's 3401-position model. Lineage: Eukaryota; Fungi; Neocallimastigomycota; Neocallimastigomycetes; Neocallimastigales. The record is from RNAcentral.
UAUCUCUGUAGAGUCUGCAUAUCAAUAAGCGGAGGAAAAGAAACUAACAAGGAUUCCCUUAGUAACGGCGAGUGAAGCGGGAAGAGCUCAAAUUUGAAAUCUCCAAGGUUUUACCUUGACGAAUUGUAGUUUAAAGAAGUGUUUUCUGUUGAAGUUUCGGCUAGAAGUUCUUUGGAAUAGGACAUCAUAGAGGGUGAGAAUCCCGUAUUUGACCGUUAUUUUCAGCUGUGUGAUACACUUUCAAAGAGUCGGAUUGUUUGGGAAUGCAGUCCAAAAUGGGUGGUAAAUUUCAUCUAAAGCUAAAUAUUGGCGAGAGACCGAUAGCGAACAAGUACCGUGAGGGAAAGAUGAAAAGAACUUUGAAAAGAGAGUUAAACAGUACGUGAAAUUGUCAAAAGGGAAGCGUUUGACACCAGUGUUGUUUUCUCGAAAAUCAAUUAAAAAUGGCCGGAUUUUGUGUUGUAUUGACUUUAUCAGCUUUCUGCACUUUUUUCUUGUCUUUUUUAAUGCACUUUUCGUUUAACAAGUCAACAUCAAUUUCUUUUGUUGUAAAAGAGUCAUUGGAAGGUGGCUUUCACUUCGGUGAAAGUGUUUAUAGCCUUUGACUUCUGCAAUCGGAGAGAUUGAGGUCUGCAGCGUAGAUCCUUCGGGGUUAGAUACAUUUGCGCUAAGUUAUAGUUUUUCAUAGACAACAUGUUGACUAUGAUUAAUCAUGUAGCUUACUCGCUUAUGCUAUUUUACCUACGCUUAGGAUGUUGAACGCGCACAGAGUCUC